CAGUCGUACUUAUGGGUAAUCAGCCUUUUGGGUGUGAUUUUGUGGAACGUGAGGAGUUAAACGCCUUCAUGCCUGCGUAUUCGUGCACUUUGGGUGUACUUGCCCGUGUGUAAGUUAACAUCAAUUUGGUGGUCAUAAAAUGGCUGGAGGAAUGUAGCUUCGAUCUCGUAUUGAAGUUGUUAUAGCCCUUCGGUAGAUGUGAUGAUCGGGGAUUGGAGGAUUGCAACGGAUACCCGUUCGGGGCUACCUGUCUGGUCUCUGAUCGUUGCUCGUGGUG
This 277-nucleotide ribosomal RNA is filed under the name Rhizophagus irregularis. The record is from RNAcentral. Lineage: Eukaryota; Fungi; Glomeromycota; Glomeromycetes; Glomerales; Glomeraceae.